Molecule: ribosomal RNA, 330 nt
Filed under: uncultured bacterium
Lineage: Bacteria
Description: bacterial SSU rRNA
Rfam family: Bacterial small subunit ribosomal RNA
Source: RNAcentral
AGAGUUUGAUUCUGGCUCAGGAUGAACGCUAGCGACAGGCUUAACACAUGCAAGUCGAGGGGCAGCAUGAGGUAGCAAUACCUUGAUGGCGACCGGCGCACGGGUGAGUAACGCGUAUGCAACCUGCCCGAUACCGGGGUAUAGCCCAUGGAAACGUGGAUUAACACCCCAUAGUACUUUUAUCCUGCAUGGGAUGUGAGUUAAAUGUUCAAGGUAUCGGAUGGGCAUGCGUCCUAUUAGUUAGUUGGCGGGGUAACAGCCCACCAAGACGAUGAUAGGUAGGGGUUCUGAGAGGAAGGUCCCCCACAUUGGAACUGAGACACGGUCCAA